Non-coding RNA from Ictidomys tridecemlineatus (thirteen-lined ground squirrel), 2175 nucleotides. The record is from RefSeq and is a predicted model, not a curated record. Lineage: Eukaryota; Metazoa; Chordata; Mammalia; Rodentia; Sciuridae.
CCUACAUUUCAAGAGAUGGAUAUAAACACCAGAUGGAUAUUACAAGAAAAUUGGAUUGCUCUGCAGUGAGUGAUAUAUGGAAAGGCCAUUUCCCAACCAAGCAAAAUUGUAACAAAAGCCUCGUCUAGUCUAAGAAUUACACAAUUUGGGCCUAUGGUUACAAUGCAGACUCUGGAUGCUCAUGAAAUUGGAAGCUUUUUCCUUCCUUCAGUUUGGACCUGACCCAGGCUGGGUGUCCAGAGAAAGAUGACUUGUUCUGGGGAAGCCAGUUGCCAUGUUGUGAAGAUACUCUCGAGACACUCCGGAGGCUUCCUGUGGUAAGGAACUAAGGGCUCCUGCCAACAGAUCUCUCCCAAGGAGAUAAGAGUCUUGGUCAUGAUAAUGCUUUAUGUGAAAACCAUGAGUUCCAGGUCUCCACUCAUCUGCUGGCUGGAAAAACUGCAAUGGCUGCAGUGGUUUGUUUGGAAUGAGAGAAGGAUACAAGGUAGAUCCUGGCUAUCAUAACAGAUUAUUGUGCCACCUUUACUUGUGGGUAAGUAAAUUAUAUGUGUGGGGCUCUGAGACUAGAAUUUAACUUUUGUUUUGUUUUGAAAAAUUCAAUACCUAGAAGCCAGUUGAGAGUUAAUUAAACUAUGAGAAGUUUCCAGAUUCAUUUAAAUGAAGACUAUUACAUUUCAAACAACACUUUAGUAGACACUGUUGUUAUGUAGAGGAGGAACUACAAUCCUGUUCUUUGGUGGAGGCCAUGAGUAGUGGAAUCCCUCUGUGUAAUGAUACUUCAUUAUCUUAGAGUUGCACCCUGAGGAUGAUUGCUAUUGUCUCAGAAAAGAGAAACACUGUUUUUUUGUUUUGUUUUGUUUUGUUUUUGUCUUCUGCCCUUAUAAGAGCUACAGAGAAGUAGGAGAGAUGACCUUGAAAUAUUAGGGAGGCUAUUAAGAGGUAAUAUAGAUACUGUAGGUAGUAGGGGGCUACAGAAGAGUAAAUGGAGAGAUAGGUCUGACCUUUUGUCAAUGAUCGAAGGGAUUGGAGGCACUGUGACAUUCUUUACAGAUAUACCCUGCUUCACAUAAUGAACCCAAGGGAAAAUAUUAUAUGAAAAUGUAUCCCACCAGUCAUUUACUGUGAUCCACAGACUUUACUACCUUAGCUUUUCAACAAUCUCUUCUCUUCUUACACAUGAAGAUCAUGCUUAGUGCAGACAGGACAUUGUCUAGGGAAUGUUAUAUUAAAACAUAUGUGGAGAAAUUUUUAGUUGUCUCAAUAUUGAAGCAGAACCACUGCUAAUGUAGUGGUAGAAGGCAAGGAUAUUAGACAUCCUGCAAUUUUUGAGAUAGUCACAUGCCCAAAAGAAUUAUCUUACCUUUCAUAUGAUUUGAAUGGCCCACUACUUGUUUUUGAAAAACAGUUAAUAACCCCAGAACCUAACUUUUUAAGAUAUAUAAAACCAAAGUAAUUUUUAUACUUUUAAUGUUCACGGAAUAUUUGAGGAUUUAAAUAAUUAUGUACAAAAAGGACAGUGUAUAUAAUAUUGUCUUUGGGAAUUUACCCAGUAAACCAGAUUUCAAAAUGAGUCAUACAUGGCAAUCCCAUUCCAAAUAUUUGAGUCAUGAUUAGAGACCACCUGUAAAAAGUGUGUACUUUAAAGAAGAACUAAUACCAAUCCUCGUCAAGUUAUCCCAUGAUAUAGAAAAGGAGAGAACACUGCCAAAGCAAUUCUACGAAGCCAGUAUCAUCCUGGUACCAAAACCAGUCAAAGACAACCAAGGAAAAAAAACUUCAGACCAAAAUCCUAGAUGAAUAUAGAUGCCAAAAUUCUUAAUAAAAUAUUGGCACCAUGCUAUAAAAAAACACAUUAAAAAGACAGUGUACUGUAACCACGUGGGAUUCAUCCCUGGGACAAAAGACUAGUUCAUUUAUUGAUACAGAAAUCAAUAAAUGUAAUUCACCACAUAAAUACACUAAAAGACAAGAAUCACAUGAUUUUCUCAAUAGAUGCAGAGAAAGUAUUGGACAAAGUACAGUACCAAUUCAUGUUUAAAGCACUAGAAAAACUAGGGAUUGAAGAAACUUACUUCAACACAAUAAAGGCUAUAUACAACAAACCCAAGGCCAACAAUAUUUUCAAGGGAGAACAAAAUGAAAGUAUUUCUUUUAAAAUAGGAAGAAGACAAGGAC